Long non-coding RNA from Cyprinus carpio (common carp), 390 nucleotides. RefSeq lists it as uncharacterized. The record is from RefSeq and is a predicted model, not a curated record. Lineage: Eukaryota; Metazoa; Chordata; Actinopteri; Cypriniformes; Cyprinidae. The transcript is spliced from 4 exons.
UCCCAUCAGCAGCCAGACUCAACAUCUGGACAUCACUCAACUCUGUCACACACGUGCAGGCUCUCUAGCUAUUACAGCAUCACUUUCACUGAUAAUGCUGAUUUCUGCCGCUGGAUCUCUGUUGAUUGUAGCUUCGGUCGGGAUCUUCUUCAUCUGCAAGAAAUGUAAAAAAACAGUCACGUCACAGGAAGAAGACACAAUUGAGUUAGAAUUUUAUAAACCAACAAUACAAAACACGAAAUCAAAGACGGAAGGUGUGCAUGAAAAUGUCCCCAAAAAACAGUGUUUAGGCAUGAGUUUGUCUUAUUUUUAGAUUGCUGGAAUUGACGCAUUUGAACAGACUGAAAAUAAAAUGUAAUACCUUUGAAAAUAAAGUUGGAUAUUCCAGUA